Molecule: long non-coding RNA, 1417 nt
Filed under: Struthio camelus australis
Lineage: Eukaryota; Metazoa; Chordata; Aves; Struthioniformes; Struthionidae
Description: lncRNA (ENSSCUG00000017725.1)
Source: RNAcentral
AUGUCCUUUGUCCUCUUCAUGCAGGUGUCACGCAUUUGCCUUAGAAGAGGCGUUUUUGUCCUUAUUAUUCUGACUGGAACAUAUUCCAAUGGAGAAGCGAGAGGAAAGCAAAGAGCAAACAGAGUUCACUCAGCUGAUUGUUGCAACAGAAGAAACAAUUCCUCCCAGUUCAGCACAGAACAGACUUUCUCCUCUUUUUGCCUUUUUAUGGGAAGACAGCUAGUAACUUUCUUUCUCUGUUUCCUCAGGGAUCACUGUCUUCAGGUAGAGCCACAGAGAAUCCUUCUCAUACCUGUUUUUAAUAUGCUAUUUUCCAUCUUCUUUUCCAUUCCCCUAAAACCACUUACACAACAUACAUUCAUACUCAUAUCUGGAUAUUUCUUAAGCUCAGAAAAGUUUGACGGUGAAGAUAAAUAAAAAUUUAGGGAAGAAAGUGGUUAAUUUACUUGAGAAAUAUGGUUAAAUAUUUGCAGUUGGACAGGGGGCUUGUCUGCUAUGUUACUAUAUAUAGCCAGCUUCAUUUUCUUCUUGAUAAAUUGGACAUUUACACGGAAAAAUUAAUACAGAAAAUAAUGAGAGUUUUAAGCAUAAAGUGUCUGAUAUUGGCAAGAGCAGUGAGAGGAGAAGCACAAUGAAUAAGAGAAAGAAAGGUGGAAAAUCUGGAAAUCAGCAGGUAGGCCUGGAAGCAUCUCAUUGAAUCUGAAGCAUAAGCUGUCUUUAAGGUAACCUUCCCCAUUACACCCAACUACCAGGGUAAAAGCAGGCAGAGGGAGGAGAUAUUUCUAUGAACUGUUAUGCCUAUUAUUUCUCUCUGAUGUUUCUUUUGACUGUUAACCACUAAACUAGCACUCAGCUAUGACCAUUUUGUCUGCAAAACUGUAAAAGUCCUGUAGCAUAUUCUUGAAGGUAAAAUAAGCUCCCAACCAGAGGGGUGGGUAAGAGGAGCCUGAAGCCUUUUCCUCAGAGCAGCCUAACAAGGGGCAUAUUGCAGACUCGAGCUGUGAUUGUGCAGUUAAAGGGAAAAUCAGCUAAUCACAGGAACUGAAGAGCAAAGAUCAUCAAACUAUAAAUUAGAUUUCUGUAUUACUGUGCAGGAUUAGAUAUUCACAUUGUGGGGGAGCAGACAUUUGUGUUUUGGGAAAAGGCUGAAGGCAUCAGGUCUGCGUUUCCUAUGCAAGAGCUAAUAUCUGUAAGGGAAAUUCAUUACCGUUUAAAAGAUGCUUUGACCAAUUUGCCAACAUUAGAUUGCUGGAACAAGGCCUGGGAAGCAGAUUUCCUCACAGGUGGCUAUUGCAGUGCUGGUUAGGAUGUAUCAUUACUUCUGCCUGUACCACGCACAACAACUAGCUGGCACAUCAUUUAUCUUCACCCUUUAAAAACAAUGAAAAUCAGGUAGAGAUGAUUUUUUUUUCCUGAA